AGUGAACGCUGGCGGUAGGCCUAACACAUGCAAGUCGAACGGCAGCACAGUAAGAGCUUGCUCUUACGGGUGGCGAGUGGCGGACGGGUGAGGAAUACAUCGGAAUCUACUUUUUCGUGGGGGAUAACGUAGGGAAACUUACGCUAAUACCGCAUACGACCUACGGGUGAAAGCAGGGGAUCUUCGCACCUUGCGCGAUUGAAUGAGCCGAUGUCGGAUUAGCUAGUUGGCGGGGUAAAGGCCCACCAAGGCAACGAUCCGUAGCUGGUCUGAGAGGAUGAUCAGCCACACUGGAACUGAGACACGGUCCAGACUCCUACGGGAGGCAGCAGUGGGGAAUAUUGGACAAUGGGCGCAAGCCUGAUCCAGCCAUACCGCGUGGGUGAAGAAGGCCUUCGGGUUGUAAAGCCCUUUUGUUGGGAAAGAAAAGCAGCAGGUUAAUACCCCGCUGUUCUGACGGUACCCAAAGAAUAAGCACCGGCUAACUUCGUG
Molecule: ribosomal RNA, 492 nt
Filed under: uncultured bacterium
Lineage: Bacteria
Description: partial 16S ribosomal RNA
Rfam family: Bacterial small subunit ribosomal RNA
Source: RNAcentral